AGAACGACAUGGAGUUGGCUCAGUUCCAUAACAAUGCCAGAGGAUACCGUUCUAUGUCUGAGAAGGUUCUGGAAGGUUCUGGCCACGUUCCCCACCAUGUACGACUACGUCAGCUAUAGGACAGUGGUGAAAAGGUUUGAAACCCAUUACCUGUCUGAGGGGACUCUGGGCGAACUCUUCCACGCCUUACUCAGCAUCGACAAGAAACAGAGAAACUGUAACGGUUCUCGUCCUCUUCGUCUGAGGAAUAGCAAGGAUCGGACCAAUACGCAGCGUGAUGAGGCCUCUGUAUGAGCUGGUAAAGGAGGUGCAGUGUGCUGGCGUGAAUAGGCUCCAUCUGAAGACGGCCAUAGAGCAGUACCUGAAUGAAAGGCACCCUUGCUUCUGCCAGCCCUGUAAGAACAUCAGCCUGGUGGUGAUAGAGGGGGAUGAGUGUAAAUACAUCUGUAAACCUGGUACAGACUGGCCUGUGAGAAGGGAAAGGAGGUAGAGGGUAGGUAACAUUUUACAUGUCGUGUGGAUACUCCAGAUGACGGUAUUUGUGUAUUUAUUUCUGGGUGCUUGCAGACAUACUGUACAUUCACAUACAGAUAUAUGCAUAACCUCUCUCUCCAUCCUUCCUUUCACUCUCCUUGUUUCGUUCACCACAACCCAACAUUCAACCAUUAUUUCCCUCCCUCCCUAAUGGCUGAUCCAUGGCAGCUGGUCCUGCUGGUCUGGCUAGACUUACUGCUCUGUAAGUCAGAGGUCACGAACCCGCACAUGCAGUACUCAUGCCCCUCAGAGAGGCUGCCAUCACUGCAACGGGGAGGCCAGGGUGACGACAGGCUGCCAUAGCAACCGAGACAUGCAAUACAUCCUGUCAGAAUUAUUGCAGCUUCUGUUGACUUUAGUGAUAAGACUUUAUACAUGAACACAACACAACAAAUACAUGAAAUGGACUGUAUACAUAGCACCUUCACAAAGUACUUCUGCAGGCCAAAGUGCUAAUCAGGCAAGCGCUAACAAAGACAGUGUUGGAAAAGCAUGGCAGGAGCAACACAUUGCUGUCUUCUAUUAAUUCAGCCUUCAUAUUACCCUGCUGUUACCUUACUGAACGUCCGUUUGGUGUACGCCUGUUUGUUUGUUUGUUUACUUGUUUGUUUGUUUACUUCCAGGACCAUGGAGCCUCAGUGCUUUGCCCUGACCCUCUCACCUCGAGAGACCUGAGGAAGCACACCUCCUCUCCCUAAUGGCUAUGUCGUGGUGUCAUGUCCCAUCCCUUCAAAAUGAUGUCACAGUCUCCCACUUAUGACAUAGGAGAAAUGAUCCCUCUAUCCUACCCUGAGGGGAGACACAUAGUGGGAGACAUAGAGAUCCUCUGGGUCACCGGACCCCAAUACCAUCACAUACUAUCACCAGGCACCAAAAACGCUCAAUCCCCUUGAUGGCCCAGCAGUGCAAUGCAAACCAUGGGAGAAACUCGCAGAAAACGAAUGGAUCUGUAAAAUGGCUUAUGAUUGCGCAUCAUCUCAAGAAGUGUGUGCCACCAACUCUGAGAGGGGUCGGAAAGACAGACUGAGCGUGUGCGAGAUACACACCCUGCAGUGUGCUACAACUUGACAGAGGACAGCACCUGCCAGUGGCCAACCCACACAACUUCACCCUAAACUGAGUGACUGCCAGCUGUGGGAGACCUGUGAUGGUACAACUCAACACUUCAGUUUUUUUGUGUGUGUGCUUACAUGGGCACGCGCGUGCGAAUGAGCGUGUGUGUGUGUGUUUGCGUGUGUGUGUGCAAACUGCACCAGAUCUCAAGGACAUUUUCCUUGUCCUAUUUUCCUUGUCUCAUUCCAACAGGACAAACAAACAGGUGUCGCUGUGAGGACAGGGUUGAGUGCUCAGACCCAGGGUUGAGUCUGUGUGUCCGUCUAGGGACUGAGGCUGACAGUGCUACCCAGACGCUGAGCGAGUGUGAGGCAGGACUGAGGAGAUGUAAAUGGGAGAAGGUGUCCGUUGGCAGCAGACUGCCCUGUGGCGCCUAAGGACACAAGAGAAUGGUCUCCUCUCCUCCGACUCAGCAUGUCUGUGAUAAUGACAGAAAAUACCCUCCACUCAUUUUGUCUCAUCUCUGUUAAUUUUACAUGACUCUUCAAACGCACUGCUUCAAAGACAUUAAAGCAAUAUAAAUCA
Salvelinus fontinalis (brook trout) is the source of this 2172-nucleotide long non-coding RNA. RefSeq lists it as uncharacterized. The transcript has 5 exons. Lineage: Eukaryota; Metazoa; Chordata; Actinopteri; Salmoniformes; Salmonidae. The record is from RefSeq and is a predicted model, not a curated record.